CCCUUAGACGUUCUGGGCCGCACGCGCGCUACACUGACCAGUGCAACAAGCAUCCGUCCUUGGCCGACAGGCUCGGGCAAUCUUUGAACGCUGGUCGUGAUGGGGAUAGACUUUUGCAAUUUUUGGUCUUCAACGAGGAAUUCCUAGUAAACGCAAGUCAUCAACUUGCAUUGAUUACGUCCUUGCCCUUUGUACACACCGCCCGUCGCACCUACCGAUUGAAUGGUCCGGUGAAGCCUCCGGAUUGGCGCGCACCUCGGUGCCGCCGAGAAGUUGGCUAAACCUUACCAUUUAGAGGAAGGUGAAGUCGUAACA
RNAcentral lists this ribosomal RNA (315 nucleotides) under uncultured eukaryote. Its description in RNAcentral is "partial 18S ribosomal RNA". It matches the Rfam family "Eukaryotic small subunit ribosomal RNA", at positions 1470 to 1796 of the family's 1831-position model. The record is from RNAcentral.